GAAAGGUGACAGGUGACACAGAAGCCUCGAAAAGAUGAGUGCUCAGGCAAGCCAAUCUGGUCCGCCGAUGCCAUAUGUAGCCUCCAUCCCAGGGGGCCUGCAGCUAUCCAAGGUCAUCACUGUGUCAGGCACUGUGCUGCCCAAUGCUGAGAGGUUCCAUAUCAACCUGUGCGCUGACACAAACAUCGCCUUUCAUCUGAACCCUUGAUUUGGUUCGAACACUGUGGUCCGAAACUCUAAGAUCAAGGGCUCCUGGGGAUCAGAGGAGAAAAGCCUGUCUGUCAAGAUGCCCUUCAUCCGAGGCCACAGCUUCAAGGUGGAGAUCAUAUGCGAAGCCCAGUGCUUCAGGGUGACUGUGGACGGCCAGCACCUGCUGGCAUACACCCACCGCAUUAAGAACCUGCCAUCCAUCAGUCACCUGGAAGUGCAUGGUGACAUUAUGCUUACAGAUGUGCAGAUCUAGGUGGAUGAAAGGGCCUGGGGAAGGGCAGGGGAGCUGUGUCCAUGUCUCCUCCCUGUCCUCUGCCCUUCUCAGUCCCACCUUCUGAGCCCUGCCAUCCUAGCAGGUGGUGCCCUGAAGUGUGCCACCCAGGGGACCCUCCAGGUCCAUUCCUCCUGGCAGUGAGGAGGACUGAGCCUUCCAUCACCAGCCCAGGCCCAUGCUGCAGAAGAUUCUCAAACACCUUCCUGUCCUCUGUGCAACCCACGCUAGCCCCAAGCCACAGCUAUGCAAUGGAGGGCGCAGGUGCCCUCCACAGCCCCCAUUCCUGGGACCUUCACCUCCUCUCCCGGCUUUCCCCCCGCUGCAACACUGCUCCCUGUGGGGAGGCUGCCUGGUGACAUCCUGCUGGCUUCCACCCACUGAGCGGAACUUUCUCUCCACUGUGCUCAGCUCUGCCCCUUCCUGGCAUCCUUAAAAUAAAGAAAAAGCCUUGCCUUUUGUCAUGCUCUCAUGA
Molecule: long non-coding RNA, 956 nt
Organism: Octodon degus (degu)
Lineage: Eukaryota; Metazoa; Chordata; Mammalia; Rodentia; Octodontidae
Exons: 4
Source: RefSeq, a predicted model, not a curated record